GCUAGCGUGGCGCAGUGAUUUGGGUUUUAAUUUUUGACUCUGGAGGCCAGGGUUCGAGUCCCAGCUCAGUCC
Molecule: non-coding RNA, 72 nt
Organism: Phrynosoma platyrhinos (Desert horned lizard)
Lineage: Eukaryota; Metazoa; Chordata; Lepidosauria; Squamata; Phrynosomatidae
Source: the annotation of a GenBank genome assembly